This 633-nucleotide ribosomal RNA is filed under the name uncultured bacterium. RNAcentral describes it as "bacterial SSU rRNA". It matches the Rfam family "Bacterial small subunit ribosomal RNA", at positions 8 to 649 of the family's 1533-position model. The record is from RNAcentral.
AGAGUUUGAUCCUGGCUCAGGAUGAACGCUAGCGGCAGGCCUAAUACAUGCAAGUCGAACGGUGAUAGCAAUAUCAUAGUGGCGCACGGGUGCGUGACACGUAUGCAACCUACCUAUUAUUGGGGGAUAGCCUUUGGAAACGGAGAUUAAUACCGCAUAAUACGAUUGACUGGCAUCGGUUGAUUGUCAAAGCUUUGGCGAUAAUAGAUGGGCAUGCGUCCAAUUAGUCAGUUGGUUAGGUAACGGCUGACCAAGACGAUGAUUGGUAGGGGAUCUGAGAGGAUAAUCCCCCACACUGGCACUGAGAUACGGGCCAGACUCCUACGGGAGGCAGCAGUAGGGAAUAUUGGGCAAUGGGCGGAAGCCUGACCCAGCCAUGCCGCGUGCAGGAAGAAGGCGUUAUGCGUUGUAAACUGCUUUUUUAUAGGAAGAAGGAUCCCUUGCGAGGGAAGGUGACGGUACUAUAAGAAUAAGCACCGGCUAACUCCGUGCCAGCAGCCGCGGUAAUACGGAGGGUGCAAGCGUUGUCCGGAUUUAUUGGGUUUAAAGGGUGCGUAGGCGGUUUAUUAAGUCAGUGGUGAAAGACGGUCGCUCAACGAUUGCAGUGCCAUUGAUACUGGUAGACUUGAGUGA